This 253-nucleotide ribosomal RNA is filed under the name uncultured bacterium. RNAcentral describes it as "partial 16S ribosomal RNA". It matches the Rfam family "Bacterial small subunit ribosomal RNA", at positions 524 to 776 of the family's 1533-position model. The record is from RNAcentral.
UACAGCGGGUGCGAGCGUUAAUCGGAAUUACUGGGCGUAAAGCGUGCGUAGACGGUUUUGUAAGUCGGAUGUGGAAUCCCCGGGCUCAACCUGGGAAUUGCAUUCGAGACUGCAAGGCUUGGGUGCGGAAGAGGGAAGCGGAAUUUCCGGUGUAGCGGUGAAAUGCGUAGAUAUCGGAAGGAACAUCAGUGGCGAAAGCGGCUUCCUGGUCCAGCACCGACGUUCAGGCACGAAAGCGUGGGGAGCAAACAGG